AGUGAACGCUGGCGGUAGGCCUAACACAUGCAAGUCGAACGAGAUCUUCGGACCUAGUGGCGCACGGGGGCGUAACGCGUGGGAAUCUGCCCUUUGGUUCGUAAUAACUUCGGGAAACUGAAGCUAAUACCGGAUAAUGACUUCGGUCCAAAGAUUUAUCGCCAAAGGAUGAGCCCGCGUAAGAUUAGCUAGUUGGUGGGGUAAAGGCCUACCAAGGCGACGAUCUUUAGCUGGUCUGAGAGGGUGAUCAGCCACACUGGGACUGAGACACGGCCCAGACUCCUACGGGAGGCAGCAGUGGGGAAUAUUGGACAAUGGGCGAAAGCCUGAUCCAGCAAUGCCGCGUGAGUGAUGAAGGCCUUAGGGUUGUAAAGCUCUUUUACCCGGGAUGGUAAUGACAGUACCGGGAGAAGAAGCUCCGGCUAACUCCGUGCCAGCCGCCGCCGUAA
RNAcentral lists this ribosomal RNA (449 nucleotides) under uncultured bacterium. Its description in RNAcentral is "partial 16S ribosomal RNA". It matches the Rfam family "Bacterial small subunit ribosomal RNA", at positions 29 to 523 of the family's 1533-position model. The record is from RNAcentral.